GUUCGGGGACGAGAAGAGCGGCCACUGUUUCCAGCAAGCACAGGCAAUUGUUCAGCCUGGAUCGCUUGAUAGUGAAGCAUGCAUAUAUGCUCUUUCAUAUGAUAUGAGUGGUACAAGACUUGUUACCUGUGAAGCUGACAAAACUAUUAAGAUGUGGAAGGAAGAUGAGAUGGCCACGCCUGAAACUCAUCCUCUUAAUUUCAGGCCGCCCAAGGAGUUCAGGAGAUACUAAGAACAAAAAUAUGUUAAUGUUGAGGGGGCAAAAUGUGAGACCUAAAGUUUUCUGAAUAGUGAACUUGUUUUUGCUGUUAAUGUAAAAAAUGAUUUUGAUUUAUAAAUGCACUUGUAUUAAUUUGCUGUUAAGUCCAAGAUUUUUUUUAUUUUAUAUUCUUAUUUUCUUU
Molecule: long non-coding RNA, 401 nt
Organism: Phalaenopsis equestris
Lineage: Eukaryota; Viridiplantae; Streptophyta; Magnoliopsida; Asparagales; Orchidaceae
Exons: 2
Source: RefSeq, a predicted model, not a curated record